UGAAAACUAGAGCUAAUUUUUUUUAAUUUUCUUUUAACCCACACAGACACAGAGAAUUACACGGCCUAACGACACGUCUGUGUAAUAUAAAUACAGAAAAUUCUUGAAUUCUAAUUAAAUGAGUUAUCAAGGCAUGAGAUUGCUUAUUUAUACAGCAUAAGCAACUAACUCAUAACAACAUAACUAAUCUAUAACAAACUAACACUCAAAACUACACUUAACUGC
Molecule: long non-coding RNA, 225 nt
Filed under: Gossypium barbadense (sea-island cotton)
Lineage: Eukaryota; Viridiplantae; Streptophyta; Magnoliopsida; Malvales; Malvaceae
Description: long non-coding RNA (GBAR_LNC014439)
Source: RNAcentral